CCUACGGGUGGCAGCAGUGGGGAAUAUUGCGCAAUGGGCGAAAGCCUGACGCAGCGACGCCGCGUGAGGGAUGAAGGUCUUCGGAUCGUAAACCUCUUUCAGCAGGGAAGAACGGUCACUGUGCUAUUCAGCAGUGAAUUGACGGUACCUGCAAAGGAAGCACCGGCUAACUCCGUGCCAGCAGCCGCGGUAAUACGGAGGGUGCGAGCGUUAAUCGGAAUUACUGGGCGUAAAGCGCUCGUAGGCGGUAUGUCAAGUCAAGGGUGAAAGCCCCGGGCUCAACGUGGGAACUGCCUUUGAAACUGGCAAACUGGAGUAUGUGAGAGGAUAGUGGAAUUCCAGGUGUAGGAGUGAAAUCCGUAGAUAUCUGGAGGAACAUCAGUGGCGAAGGCGACUAUCUGGCACAUAACUGACGCUGAGGAGCGAAAGCGUGGGUAGCAAACAGGAUUAGAUACCCCAGUAGUC
RNAcentral lists this ribosomal RNA (465 nucleotides) under uncultured bacterium. RNAcentral's name for it is "partial 16S ribosomal RNA". It matches the Rfam family "Bacterial small subunit ribosomal RNA", at positions 338 to 795 of the family's 1533-position model. The record is from RNAcentral.